CAUACUGCUUAUAGUACAUUAGGAAAAAUCAUCCAGAACUUGGAAAAGGGGCUGGACAGACACAGCCCUUCGAGGUUGUCCGAUGAACCCCUGGGGUCUUUAACCAUCUGGAGGGAUGUACCAUGUCAGACUCACUAUUGUCGACCGGCUGAAGCCCAGGUUUCAUGAGGUUAUGUGUCAGCUUGUAGGACUUUCUCUGGCAGAGAUGCGAGUGACUUCUGCUCAGUGAGAGGUUCAUCUCAGGGACUUCAUGGCCUGAGGGAUGGCAGCCUGUUUGAGCUGAUGGAGCAAUCUCGCGCUACCCUUAUUUUCUGAAACGCCUAUGAGUGACUUCUCACACGGUCUUUGAAGCGGCUUCAUGCCCGCGCUCCUUGGUAAUGAUCGAAUGCUUUUUUUGACCCCUCGUCCUCUUUCUUUGAGGUGUUCCAGUCUCAGUUCUCAUGAUGUGUUCUGCUUCUGCAGGAAUUUCUGAAGCUGCUGAGUGUAGAAAGCACUGAGGAGGCUGCGCUCCCACCCCUAUUUCUUUGCAUCUUCUCCCUUAUCCAGAAGUGAGGGUGAAUGCUGAGUUAUUCACGGGAGUCAAGAAACCACACGCAGCCCAAAGUGACGUUUGUUUCCCUGAAAUGAUUUGUGUGUGUUCACCUUAAAAUGCAACUCAGUAAAA
Chlorocebus sabaeus (green monkey) is the source of this 664-nucleotide non-coding RNA. The record is from RefSeq and is a predicted model, not a curated record. Lineage: Eukaryota; Metazoa; Chordata; Mammalia; Primates; Cercopithecidae.